CGGGGGAAAGAUUUAUCGCUACUAGAUGAGCCUAUGUUAGAUUAGCUAGUUGGUGGGGUAAUGGCCUACCAAGGCGGUGAUCUAUAGCUGGUUUGAGAGGACGAUCAGCCACACUGGAACUGAGAUACGGUCCAGACUCCUACGGGAGGCAGCAGUGGGGAAUAUUGGACAAUGGGCGCAAGCCUGAUCCAGCCAUGUCGCGUGAGUGAAGAAGGCCUUAGGGUUGUAAAACUCUUUCAG
RNAcentral lists this ribosomal RNA (240 nucleotides) under Candidatus Allocryptoplasma sp. RNAcentral describes it as "Candidatus Cryptoplasma sp. partial 16S ribosomal RNA". It matches the Rfam family "Bacterial small subunit ribosomal RNA", at positions 197 to 439 of the family's 1533-position model. Lineage: Bacteria; Pseudomonadati; Pseudomonadota; Alphaproteobacteria; Rickettsiales; Anaplasmataceae. The record is from RNAcentral.